This 77-nucleotide transfer RNA is filed under the name Pseudomonadota bacterium. RNAcentral describes it as "Proteobacteria bacterium tRNA-Pro". It matches the Rfam family "tRNA". Rfam says of the family: Transfer RNA (tRNA) molecules are approximately 80 nucleotides in length. Their secondary structure includes four short double-helical elements and three loops (D, anti-codon, and T loops). The record is from RNAcentral. Lineage: Bacteria; Pseudomonadati; Pseudomonadota.
CGGGGCGUAGCGCAGCCUGGUAGCGCACACGUCUGGGGGGCGUGUGGUCGCUGGUUCGAAUCCAGUCGCCCCGACCA